GACAAGGUUCCAGGCCCUACGGGGUGCAGCAGGCGCGAAACCUCCGCAAUGUGAGAAAUCGCGACGGGGGGAUCCCAAGUGCCAUUCUUAACGGGAUGGCUUUUCAUUAGUGUAAAGAGCUUUUGGAAUAAGAGCUGGGCAAGACCGGUGCCAGCCGCCGCGGUAACACCGGCAGCUCUAGUGGUAGCAAUUUUUAUUGGGCCUAAAGCGUCCGUAGCCGGUUUAAUAAGUCUCUGGUGAAAUCCUGCAGCUUAACUGUGGGAAUUGCUGGAGAUACUAUUAGACUUGAGAUCGGGAGAGGUUAGAGGUACUCCCAGGGUAGAGGUGAAAUUCUGUAAUCCUGGGAGGACCGCCUGUUGCGAAGGCGUCUAACUGGAACGAUUCUGACGGUGAGGGACGAAAGUUAGGGGCGCGAACCGGAUUAGAUACCCGGGUAGUCCUAACCGUAAACGAUGCGGACUUGGUGUUGGGGUGGCUUUGAGCUGCUCCAGUGCCGAAGGGAAGCUGUUAAGUCCGCCGCCUGGGAAGUACGGUCGCAAGACUGAAACUUAA
Molecule: ribosomal RNA, 552 nt
Filed under: uncultured archaeon
Lineage: Archaea
Description: bacterial SSU rRNA
Rfam family: Archaeal small subunit ribosomal RNA
Source: RNAcentral